UGCAGCAAUGCACAGUGGCGCAAGGGUGAGGAACGCGUGAGUAACCUGCCCUUAAGUUGGGAAUAGCUCCUGGAAACGGGAAUUAAUACCGAAUGUGAUCGUCGGGAGACAUCUCUUGAUGAUUAAAGGCCGCAAGGUCGCUUAAGGAGGGGCUCGCGUCCCAUUAGCUAGUUGGUGAGGUAACGGCCCACCAAGGCGAAGAUGGGUAGCUGGUCUGAGAGGACGAUCAGCCACACUGGGACUGAGAUACUGCCCAGACUCC
RNAcentral lists this ribosomal RNA (262 nucleotides) under uncultured bacterium. RNAcentral's name for it is "partial 16S ribosomal RNA". It matches the Rfam family "Bacterial small subunit ribosomal RNA", at positions 75 to 339 of the family's 1533-position model. The record is from RNAcentral.